AUUGAACGCUGGCGGCAGGCUUAACACAUGCAAGUCGAGCGGAGACUUCGGUCUUAGCGGCGAAACGGGGUGAGGAAUGCCUGGGAAUCUGCCUGGUAUGGGGGAUAACGUUCCGAAAGGAACGCUAAUACCGCAUACGUCCUACGGGAGAAAGCAGGGGACCUUCGGGCCUUGCGCUAUCAGAUGAGCCCAGGUCGGAUUAGCUAGUAGGUGAGGUAAAGGCUCACCUAGGCGACGAUCCGUAGCUGGUCUGAGAGGAUGAUCAGCCACACUGGAACUGAGACACGGUCCAGACUCCUACGGGAGGCAGCAGUGGGGAAUAUUGGGACAAUGGGCGAAAGCCUGAUCCAGCCAUGACCGCGU
RNAcentral lists this ribosomal RNA (363 nucleotides) under uncultured bacterium. RNAcentral describes it as "bacterial SSU rRNA". It matches the Rfam family "Bacterial small subunit ribosomal RNA", at positions 30 to 402 of the family's 1533-position model. The record is from RNAcentral.